This 23-nucleotide microRNA is filed under the name Aedes aegypti (yellow fever mosquito). RNAcentral's name for it is "aae-miR-13-3p". Its record names the gene aae-miR-13-3p. The record is from miRBase by way of RNAcentral. Lineage: Eukaryota; Metazoa; Arthropoda; Insecta; Diptera; Culicidae. RNAcentral also lists the same sequence under 10 other names.
UAUCACAGCCAUUUUGACGAGUU